This 298-nucleotide unclassified non-coding RNA is filed under the name Rhizopogon pseudoroseolus. RNAcentral describes it as "partial internal transcribed spacer region". The stretch from base 1 to 46 matches the Rfam family "Eukaryotic small subunit ribosomal RNA", at positions 1786 to 1831 of the family's 1831-position model. Lineage: Eukaryota; Fungi; Basidiomycota; Agaricomycetes; Boletales; Rhizopogonaceae. The record is from RNAcentral.
AAGUCGUAACAAGGUUUCCGUAGGUGAACCUGCGGAAGGAUCAUUAACGAAUAUAAUUCAGAGGGGCUGUAGCUGGCUUCGGAAACGAGGCAUGUGCACGCUCUUCUGUCUUUCAUAACUCACCUGUGCACCUAAUGUAGGAUGCUCCUCCUUCGGGAGGGGGGACCUAUGUCUUCAUACGCCUCUUCGUGUAGAAAGUCUUAGAAUGUUUACUAUCAGAGAGUCGCGACUUCUAGGAGACGCGAAUCUCUGAGACAAAAGUUAAUUACAACUUUCAGCAAUGGAUCUCUUGGCUCUC